GUGGGGAAUAUUGGACAAUGGGGGGAACCCUGAUCCAGCCAUGCCGCGUGUGUGAAGAAGGCCUUUUGGUUGUAAAGCACUUUAAUCGAGGAGGAGGCUACCGAGAUUAAUACUCUUGGAUAGUGGACGUUACUCGCAGAAUAAGCACCGGCUAACUCUGUGCCAGCAGCCGCGGUAAUACAGAGGGUGCAAGCGUUAAUCGGAUUUACUGGGCGUAACGCGCGCGUAGGUGGCCAAUUAAGUCAAAUGUGAAAUCCCCGAGCUUAACUUGGGAAUUGCAUUCGAUACUGGUUGGCUAGAGUAUGGGAGAGGAUGGUAGAAUUCCAGGUGUAGCGGUGAAAUGCGUAGAGAUCUGGAGGAAUACCGAUGGCGAAGGCAGCCAUCUGGCCUAAUACUGACACUGAGGUGCGAAAGCAUGGGGAGCAAACAGGAUUAGAUACCCCAGUAGUCC
Molecule: ribosomal RNA, 451 nt
Filed under: uncultured bacterium
Lineage: Bacteria
Description: partial 16S ribosomal RNA
Rfam family: Bacterial small subunit ribosomal RNA
Source: RNAcentral